AAGUCGAGCGAACUGAUUAGAAGCUUGCUUCUAUGACGUUAGCCCCGGACGGGUGAGUAACACGUGGGCAACCUGCCUGUAAGACUGGGAUAACUUCGGGAAACCGAAGCUAAUACCGGAUAGGAUCUUCUCCUUCAUGGGAGAUGAUUGAAAGAUGGUUUCGGCUAUCACUUACAGAAUGGGCCAAGCGGUGCAUUAGCUAGUUGGUGAGGUAACGGCUCACCAAGGCAACGAUGCAUAGCCGACCUGAGAGGGUGAUCGGCCACACUGGGACUGAGACACGCCCCAGACUCCUUCGGGAGGCAGCAGUAGGGAAUCUUCCGCAAUGGACGAAAGUCUGACGGAGCAACGCCGCGUGAGUGAUGAAGGCUUUCGGGUCGAAAAACUCUGUUGUUAGGGAAGAACAAGUACGAGAGUAACUGCUCGUACCUUGACGGUACCUAACCAGAAAGCCACGGCUAACUACGUGCCAGCAGCCGCGGUAAUACGUAGGUGGCAAGCGUUAUCCGGAAUUAUUGGGCGUAAAGCGCGCGCAGGCGGUUUCUUAAGUCUGAUGUGAAAGCCCACGGCUCAACCGUGGAGGGUCAUUGGAAACUGGGGAACUUGAGUGCAGAAGAGAAAAGCGGAAUUCCACGUUUAGCGGUGAAAUGCGUAGAGAUGUGGAGGAACACCAGUGGCGAAGGCGGCUUUUUGGUCUGUAACUGACGCUGAGGCGCGAAAGCGUGGGGAGCAAACAGGAUUAGAUACCCUGGUAGUCCACGCCGUAAACGAUGAGUGCUAAGUGUUAGAGGGUUUCCGCCCUUUAGUGCUGCAGCUAACGCAUUAAGCACUCCGCCUGGGGAGUACGGUCGCAAGACUGAAACUCAAAGGAAUUGACGGCCGCGGCGCACAAGCGGUGGAGCAUGUGGUAUAAUUCGAAGCAACGCGAAGAACCUUACCAGGUCUUGACAUU
Molecule: ribosomal RNA, 952 nt
Filed under: Priestia megaterium
Lineage: Bacteria; Bacillati; Bacillota; Bacilli; Caryophanales; Bacillaceae
Description: bacterial SSU rRNA
Rfam family: Bacterial small subunit ribosomal RNA
Source: RNAcentral